Molecule: long non-coding RNA, 579 nt
Filed under: Physcomitrium patens
Lineage: Eukaryota; Viridiplantae; Streptophyta; Bryopsida; Funariales; Funariaceae
Description: long non-coding RNA (PPAT_LNC008909)
Source: RNAcentral
UUUUUUUUUUUUUAUUUAAUUCUUUGACAUCAAAUUAAUUUCAAAAUCAUGAUCAAUUAAUGCUAUAAUUGAUUCUUUUAACUCUCCUAAUUUUACUAAAGUUUUUUUAGUAGCCCUUGUCCAAUGAUGUCUUCAAUAAUGACUAGAAGCUUAAAUCACAUCUUCUUCUUUUGUAAAACUAACUUAUAAAAUAUCUCCAAAAAUUUACAUUUCAUCUUCUUUAUUUAUAUUGCUUUCUAUUGCCUUUGUUUCUUGUACAUUUGAUGUCAUAGUAUCUCCUAUAGAUUUUUUUUUUUUUUUUUUUUUUUUUUUUUUCUUUAUUGUGUCAAUAAUGAAUUCAUGAAAUUAAUGCUUUGUAAUCUCUAAAAUUUUACCAAUUAUAAAUUCAACCUUUCUACCUAAAUUCUAUUUUUUUAAUAUCUUUUUCUAAUCUAUAAUAACUUUUUUUUUCUUUCAUAAUUUUUCUUUCUUUCCUAAAAAUAUUUUCUAUUUCUUCUUCAUGCAUAGGAUUCUUUUGUUUUCAUGAUUUCUCUCCAUGUAUAGUUCUUUUUGAUGGCCUUUUAUUAUUUUUGUCUCUCC